This 585-nucleotide unclassified non-coding RNA is filed under the name Penicillium tulipae. Its description in RNAcentral is "sequence contains 18S rRNA gene, ITS1, 5.8S rRNA gene, ITS2, 28S rRNA gene". The stretch from base 222 to 374 matches the Rfam family "5.8S ribosomal RNA". The record is from RNAcentral. Lineage: Eukaryota; Fungi; Ascomycota; Eurotiomycetes; Eurotiales; Aspergillaceae.
AGUCGUAACAAGGUUUCCGUAGGUGAACCUGCGGAAGGAUCAUUACCGAGUGAGGGCCCUCUGGGUCCAACCUCCCACCCGUGUUUAUUUUACCUUGUUGCUUCGGCGGGCCCGCCUUUACUGGCCGCCGGGGGGCUCACGCCCCCGGGCCCGCGCCCGCCGAAGACACCCUCGAACUCUGUCUGAAGAUUGUAGUCUGAGUGAAAAUAUAAAUUAUUUAAAACUUUCAACAACGGAUCUCUUGGUUCCGGCAUCGAUGAAGAACGCAGCGAAAUGCGAUACGUAAUGUGAAUUGCAAAUUCAGUGAAUCAUCGAGUCUUUGAACGCACAUUGCGCCCCCUGGUAUUCCGGGGGGCAUGCCUGUCCGAGCGUCAUUGCUGCCCUCAAGCACGGCUUGUGUGUUGGGCCCCGUCCUCCGAUUCCGGGGGACGGGCCCGAAAGGCAGCGGCGGCACCGCGUCCGGUCCUCGAGCGUAUGGGGCUUUGUCACCCGCUCUGUAGGCCCGGCCGGCGCUUGCCGAUCAACCCAAAUUUUUAUCCAGGUUGACCUCGGAUCAGGUAGGGAUACCCGCUGAACUUAAGCAUA